UGCGGAAUAUUGGACAAUGGGCGAAAGCCUGAUCCAGCCAUGCCGCGUGUGUGAAGAAGGUCUUCGGAUUGUAAAGCACUUUAAGUUGGGAGGAAGGGCAGUAAGCGAAUACCUUGCUGUUUUGACGUUACCGACAGAAUAAGCACCGGCUAACUCUGUGCCAGCAGCCGCGGUAAUACAGAGGGUGCAAGCGUUAAUCGGAAUUACUGGGCGUAAAGCGCGCGUAGGUGGUUCGUUAAGUUGAAUGUGAAAGCCCCGGGCUCAACCUGGGAACUGCAUCCAAAACUGGCGAGCUAGAGUAGGGCAGAGGGUGGUGGAAUUUCCUGUGUAGCGGUGAAAUGCGUAGAUAUAGGAAGGAACACCAGUGGCGAAGGCGACCACCUGGGCUCAUACUGACACUGAGGUGCGAAAGCGUGGGGAGCAAACAGG
RNAcentral lists this ribosomal RNA (429 nucleotides) under Pseudomonadota bacterium. RNAcentral's name for it is "Proteobacteria bacterium partial 16S ribosomal RNA". It matches the Rfam family "Bacterial small subunit ribosomal RNA", at positions 355 to 776 of the family's 1533-position model. The record is from RNAcentral. Lineage: Bacteria; Pseudomonadati; Pseudomonadota.